CACCAAUACUUCCUCUGUUGGCUCCUCGUAUUUUUUCCCACGUUGUCGGAAUAAAUUUCCAAAAAUUAUUUAAGCGCAUAAUUAAAUUAUCGCAACUAUUUCUCUUCGCAAUUAUUUUCGCACUUGGGAUAAAAUUAUUCACCUUUCGAAAUAUUCUGGGAUUUAAUUAAUUUUUCCCACAAUUAAAUUAAUUAUUUGCCCAACGAUUUAAUCAACUUACCCAAGCUAUUUUAUAUUCGAGCCCAACGUAAUUAUCGAACAACCCACCUUAUUUCUCCAUUUUAAAAGAUGAGCCCAACUUUAAUAAAUCAUCCUAUCAAUUUAUUAAGCCCAAAUUUUCUUAGAGCAAGGGCCCAAUUUCUUUUUUUUAACUCCCCAUACCCCCACGCCUAUCUCUGUCUCUUCUUCUUCCCCUUUUCUUCUUUCUCUUUUCUUCCCCUAAUUCUCUCUCUCUCUCGACGAAAUGCAUUCGACGAAAAAAAAAACAGAAGCGCCCUCUCAAAUUCCGUCGUCUCUCUCCCGUCGUUGUUGUCCGUUGGCCGCUUGAACUGUCGCCGCUGCUGCUGUCGGAAAAAUCGCGACGCCGCAGUCCCAUCGCCUUCUUCUGUCUCACUCCACCCGCACCAGCGCGUCAACUGACGUUCGUCAUCAACGUCGCUGCCGCUGUGCCGACGCCGCUACCGUCGUCGGCAGCCGCUGAACUGACGCCGACCUCUGCGUCGUCACUGCUGCUGUUCCUCGGCGGAAGGAUGCUGUUGUUGCUGCCGGUUCGUCUAGCUCGCCGCAGUGAGGCUGCUGCCAUCGUCGCUGGGAGACGCCGCCGUCGGUCAGCCUACGAAUCCUCCGAUUCGACCCAAAUCAACUCCGAACAGCCCCGAACUCUACCCAAACAGCCCCGAAUCCAAUUCGAACUACCUCGAUUAGCCCUGUUUCCCAUUAAAGGAAAUAUGUUAUGAGCUACAUGCAAAAAAAAUUCAUGCUUUGAAGAUGGGUAGAGAUUAUACCUCAAUGAAUUGAACUUGGUUGUGGAGAAAACAAAGAAUGGCUGCAACUUCUUCUUCCUCUUCCUCUCUCGGCUCUCUCUCCCUCUCUCUCCCUCUCUCUCUUUGUUCUUGUUGUAAAGUGUAUUGUGAGGAGUUAGGGGAGGGGAUACAUGAAGGAACUUAUGACCAUUUAUGGAAUAUUCUAACUGGGGCUCCUAAAGUGGGACACCCAAAAAUGGUAAACCGGGACUCCUAAAGUGAGACAGAGGGAGUACCAAUAUUAAAUAUUUUACUAUUAUACAUGGAAUGUACAUAAAAUUUCCAUAUAAUUUAAUGUGAGGGGUUAUAUUUA
This is a long non-coding RNA of Salvia splendens (bonfire salvia), 1335 nucleotides long. RefSeq lists it as uncharacterized. The record is from RefSeq and is a predicted model, not a curated record. The transcript is spliced from 2 exons. NCBI's taxonomy places the organism in Eukaryota, Viridiplantae, Streptophyta, Magnoliopsida, Lamiales, Lamiaceae.